UUGUGUGUUUGCCGUUUGGCUGGUAACCAAUUAACCAUGCUGGUAACAGAUACAAUGUUCGUGAAACUGUUAUGUAAGUUUUGCUUCCAAAUGUGAAUGUUAUCGGACAUCCAGAAUAUGUGGUUUUAUAAAGUAGGAGCCAUGUAUGGCUGAAAAGAACAAAUAUGAGAAAAAAAGAUUGACAAAAGAAAGCAGAGUUUGCAACAUUUUGCUUCCGGUCAGCCAAGUUAUGUAUUUAACUAAAGAUGUUGACUGGGCACCAACACGUAAUCAUGAGAAUAAUUCCAUUGGGAUGGCUACUGUUAAAAGAAUUAGUCGCUCUGUAAGAAGGCAGAUUGCUUGUAUAUGUUCAAAGAUACAGUUCCAAAAGAUGCAGUAACUGAUGUCAUGAAAGAUACCGCUGGAUAUACCCAAUGCAGAACACCUUUGAUAGACACAUCAACAAAUUGGUGAAUCAACAAACGAGCAGCAUCCAUCUACCUGCAACACAGCUCUUGCAUUAGAAAACUAGGCAUUGGUUCUUCGAAUAAAAGUAUUGAAAAAUGAAAAGACAUUUACUAGUUGAAACAGUGUCACAUGUUCAGUAUCUGUAUUAAAAACUUCUUUUCACCUCGUUUAAUACAAAUGUUUCUCUAGAAAAAAGAAUCGUGUGUAUUCUUAAAGUGAUAAAUAAAUAACGAUAAUGAAUCAGAUAGCCUAAUCAUAGUGAACGCUUCGUCAGAUUAGUGAACUAAAUGUUAAAGCAGUUGAAUUAGUAAAUUUUAAACUAGUUAACCCCAAAUACUUUUGAGGGAAUUUUUACCACAUAUUCUGGAUGUCCAAUAACAUUCACUUUUGGGAUGCAAAACUUACAUAACAGAUUCAUAAACAUUGUAUCUGUUACCGCAGCCAAACGGCAAACACACAACAAAUCUGUUUUGACAUUCCAGAAUCAAAACAACCUAAUUAAAGUUCAAAUUACAUAAUUAAUAUAAGCCACAAGUAAUACUUACCAUACAUGAAAAUGUUACUAAUUCAUCUGGGAACACGAUCAAUGAGAAAUAUAUUUUAUUUAAGGCACCAAUAAAUUAAAAAUGAAUUUAAACUAAAGGGACCCCGAUUCCUUAUGGGAAUUUACACGGGGAAAAAUUAAUUAGAACAAAGAUGGCCGAUUGCGGCGUUGCCGGAUUGUAAAAUCCCGACUUUCCGCAUUGUGAAAA
Daphnia pulex (common water flea) is the source of this 1199-nucleotide long non-coding RNA. RefSeq lists it as uncharacterized. The transcript is spliced from 3 exons. The record is from RefSeq and is a predicted model, not a curated record. NCBI's taxonomy places the organism in Eukaryota, Metazoa, Arthropoda, Branchiopoda, Diplostraca, Daphniidae.